CCUACGGGAGGCAGCAGUGGGGAAUAUUGGGCAAUGGGCGCAAGCCUGACCCAGCAACGCCGCGUGAAGGAAGAAGGCUUUAGGGUUGUAAACUUCUUUUAAGGGGGAAGAGCAGAAGACGGUACCCCUUGAAUAAGCCACGGCUAACUACGUGCCAGCAGCCGCGGUAAUACGUAGGUGGCAAGCGUUGUCCGGAUUUACUGGGUGUAAAGGGCGUGCAGCCGGAGAGACAAGUCAGAUGUGAAAUCCACGGGCUCAACCCGUGAACUGCAUUUGAAACUGUUUCCCUUGAGUGUCGGAGAGGUAAUCGGAAUUCCUUGUGUAGCGGUGAAAUGCGUAGAUAUAAGGAAGAACACCAGUGGCGAAGGCGGAUUACUGGACGAUAACUGACGGUGAGGCGCGAAAGCGUGGGGAGCAAACAGGAUUAGAUACCCCUGUAGUC
RNAcentral lists this ribosomal RNA (442 nucleotides) under uncultured bacterium. RNAcentral describes it as "partial 16S ribosomal RNA". It matches the Rfam family "Bacterial small subunit ribosomal RNA", at positions 338 to 795 of the family's 1533-position model. The record is from RNAcentral.